GUGGGGGCGCGGCGCUCUCCCGGCGGGUCGGUGCCCACCUCCUCAGGGCUGCCAGAGGCGCGGCCGCUCUCCCGGCCGGCUGGGGGCCUUUCCUGGGAAGAGUUUCCACCCACCCAUCCGUCCACCCAUCCAUCCAUCCAUCCGGAAAGUCAAGUUUUUUGGGUUUUUAAGUAGAGCAGCGCUCUGAGGGGCUGUUCACGGCCGGUCCGCCCCGCCUGCCCUUGCGGCUGCUUUGCUUUUGGUUGUGCCACUGGGUGAGGUGGCCCAAACAUGCAAAUUACUGGUACUUUCUCCCUGAAAGCAAUCUUGGCCUGGAAGUAAACACAUGAAGUUGCUGGCAGCCUCCCAGGGGAAGGUCUGUGGUAAUCCUUGACCCUCCCGGGGUUCAAGUAGCAGCGUCAGCCCAAGAGGUGUCAGAAAGACCAUCUCCAGUAUGAUUUUCAUUCUACAAAAGCAAAUGGUGCUCUCUAUGUUGCUGUGCCACUGAAAGAAGCCGAUGGUCCCAAGAUACCACAGACAAGUUUCCCAGCCUGAAGGAGCCUGGUGAGCAGUGCCACUGUGGGACCAAUGAGCUGUCUGUGGAACAGCUGCAGUCUCCAUACCUGCAUCUCCACUGGGAAGAGUCUGGGAACUUCUGCCUUAAUGAACUUCAGACCACACACCUAGCAAAGUGUAAUUGAAAUCCAUCAUCAGCGAUGAUCAUCUUUGGCUGGUUUUACAUGUAAGGAACAACUUGCUCCAGCUUUUGAACUUCUCCUGGAAAACUGAAUGCAUCCAGCAGUCAAAUGAAGGACUGAGCCAGGCACAGUGUGCUGCAGCAAUUUGCUCAGCUUCUCUCUUAGAGAAAAGUGCUGGGACAAUCUCAUCCAAGAUGGAGACCUGGCUGAGAGAGGAAAACACAGAGCUGGCCCAGUGGAUGGAGAAGAUGGGGUUUACAGUGACAGAACCAGAACUCAUGGAGCACCGGUUUCCCAACCUCCCUGCAGCACCUCAGACACAGGUUUGCAUCCUGGCUUUUGGUGCUUCCAGCUUCAUAACCUCUCUGCUCUGCUCUGGAUGACACUUCCCAUCCCCAGCACAGGCCCCCAGUAAUUUACAGAUAUACAGUAGAUCCCAAGUGUAACCCUCUGUAGGGAGCUGUGUAGUUUAGCUGAAUCCUUACAGUACUUCUUGCCUCAUGGAAAUUGUUCAAACACUUCUGUUCUUGUAAUGUGAGGCAGAUGUUGGACACAGAAAUCUCAUUCCUAAGCACCAAAAUUUAACUGCAUUUUAGUAAUUAAAAGACAGUACUUUGAGUGCUUAAUUUUAACUUGGUGUUGCUAUGGAAAAUAAAGAACUGUGCCUUCCCUUCCCCCUGGUCCCCAAAGAGAAAAUUAGAAACCUUUGAUAUUAUUUCUCUACAACAUAAAAAAAGAAAAUUCCCAAGUAAAAUGGCUUUUAGUGUUGUGGUACACAAUAUAAGAAAGCAGACUGUAAUUAAUUAUUCUCUGCAGAGUACAUUAUUAUGAGAUUGAGAUAAGCUUUGACCUUUGCUGCAUCCAUUUGCAUAAUACAGCACACAGUACCAUGCCAUUGUGGACUUUUCAUCAUCAACGUGCUGCUGCUGAUACUGAAAUGUGUUCCCUUAAAAUACUCCAUUCUGUGAAUUUUAAUUGCAAACAUACUCUUCAUGUUAUCUGCUGGACUAAAGUAGUGCUGAGUACAAUUUAUCUCUUAAUACCCACUGGUUCCUGAUGUCUAUAGGACAACCAGGAUUGGAAUUGGCUAUUGAGAGCACAGGAUAUUGAUCAUUAAAAGUCCACAGAAACAUUAUGCUUAACUUGGGAAAUCCCUGCAGAAUAAAAUGUUAGCAUUAAUUUAAAGCUCUCUUUUUUUUUUUUUUUUUCUUUUUUCUCCAAAUACAAAAGAGGAACACAGUUAUACUUCCAGGAGUUAAUCUCCUUGUUAUGUACAUGACUGACCUUGAAAGAGGCGGGUUGAACAAUGGAGUUUUUAAUCAGAAGGACUGAAUGAAAAGUGCAGACAGAAUGAAAAGAGUUAAGAAGUAUUGUUUAUUAGGAUAUCUUGAAUACAGAUAACAAAAUGGUAUGCUGGGCUGGCUGCUUGGCAUAUAACCACAAUGGACAGAUGGUUUUUCAUUAUCUGUUGUAUGGAAAUACAAGGUUUGUAACA
Molecule: long non-coding RNA, 2172 nt
Organism: Taeniopygia guttata (zebra finch)
Lineage: Eukaryota; Metazoa; Chordata; Aves; Passeriformes; Estrildidae
Source: Ensembl